CCUUUGAUCCACCAUAACUCCUCCGUCUGGGCUCCGAUCGCCUCACCAUUCGCGGCCACGCACUCAGUGCGUCGAGCUCUACCUUUCUAUCCGAACAAUUUCACUGGUUCAAGUUAGCUUCCGGGACUUGUGGGCUCAAGCUAUUGAGCAUAUGGGUAUGGUGUAGGUUAAGUGGGUGUUUAUACAUUGGAAUUGAAUUGGGAUUACUUGGAGGUUUGUUGGUGACCAAGGCUUGUUUUGGGGCUGUUUGAUUGAGCUUGGAGGGGCUGUAAUUUUGAUUUGUGAGGCUGCCUUGGGUGAACUAAGUGAUCGGCCAAGAUGCAGGUCAAGAGGCUCCUUGCUAGGCGUCUGGAUCCUGGAAAGCGGAGUAGUCCUUGGGUGUAUUUUGGUUUCGGUUUGUAUAUAUGUAUAUAUAUG
Molecule: non-coding RNA, 417 nt
Organism: Arachis ipaensis
Lineage: Eukaryota; Viridiplantae; Streptophyta; Magnoliopsida; Fabales; Fabaceae
Source: RefSeq, a predicted model, not a curated record